Molecule: long non-coding RNA, 1463 nt
Organism: Anthonomus grandis grandis
Lineage: Eukaryota; Metazoa; Arthropoda; Insecta; Coleoptera; Curculionidae
Exons: 4
Source: RefSeq, a predicted model, not a curated record
GAACAUUGAAAGGCUAGAAUUAGUAAACAACAACUUUGUUUGAGUCCAACAUGUGCACAGGGGCAAGAGGGGUGUUUUGUUUACAAACAUAUUUGCCGAUUCUCUGUUGUCAAGUCGACGCAAAUUUCCAACGGAGGAAAUUUUUAGCUAUAUUUUAACAACCAUUAUAACGUUAAUUUAACUUAUUUGUGUUGUAUUUUAUAGGAAAAUUUAAAAUAAAAAGUAUAAAUACUACAAUUAACCUAUUUUAAGAAUAAAUAUAAUAUCCUUAAGCCAAAAAAAACAAAAUUAUUAACAUUAUUAUCCCUAAAACUGCUUCUAAAAAAUUUGAAGCGACAACACCGAAGCUUAAGCGCCUGAGCCAUACGCGUAGUGUCAUCUGUCAAACGGCUUUUUGUUUAUUUUCGGGAUUCGUGUAUUUUCUUUAAUUUUCGGUUUCAAAAGGAAAAAGGCCACAUUUUAGUGUUUUUUUAAAUUGCUAGGAUGGGAAAAACUUGUGUCGUUUGUGCCGCAUCAUGAUAAAAAGGUGAUUCAAGCCGAUCUUUUCACAAAUUGCCUAAUAUAUGCCCAAAGGGAACAAUGGAUUUUAUUAAUGGAAAUCAACACAAUUAAACAGAACAUAUUUGUUUGUUCAGAUCACAUCCUUAGAAGUGAUUUCUUAUAUAAGGAAGAUAAUAUUAUCAGUAGCCAGACUUUAUUAAAAAAAUGAGCUCUACCUCAAAGGUAAUUUUUUUUAAAUAUAUUUUUCUAGUAUAAAAAAAUCGUCAAAAAAAGGAUUAGUGUUACUCAUAUAAGCUUUAUUUAUACCUAAUACUUAUUAAAUUAGGUAUGUAUGUAAAACUAUUUUUUUACUAGGAUUUCUGAUGCACUGGUUAAAAACACAGCAGCCGAUAAUUCAGUUAAUUUACCAAGUGAUUUAUCCUUCAAAGCUGCAGGGGUAGCUUUCCUGAAGAGUGAAAAAACUUCUUUAGCUUCCAAAAUGGUAUAUAGUACAAACAGUGAAGCUAAUAUAGACAAAUCUGAUCAUUCAUCAUCAACAAUAACUGCAUCUGAGAUUAAUAGUUCUACAGUAACCGUGGGGUCUAGGUCAACAAUUACUAUUUCUCAUCCAAGCCGUUUUUGUUUAACUGCUACACAUUCCCUGACUCUGCCAAGGAAAAGGGUAAAAUCAAAAUGAUAUCCUGAGGACCUAAGCACUGAUGAUUCCACCGUUUCAAAAGCUAAAUCACUUGUUACCAAAUUAUGGAAAAAAAAUAAAGAACAAAAAAUUAAAAUUCGAAGAUUGCAAUAAACAAAUUUGCCCCAAAGAAAUUGAAUUAGAUGUCUCAAUUCAUUAUUUAAAUACUUCGAAAAAGUCCAACAUACUACAUAUUUUAUUUGACUUGUAAAAGUACUUGUUUGUAUAUUACUACUAAUAAACUAAUCUAAUCUAUUGUACAUAGUCUUUAUUCUUAGGUAAGCUU